RNAcentral lists this ribosomal RNA (484 nucleotides) under uncultured bacterium. RNAcentral describes it as "partial 16S ribosomal RNA". It matches the Rfam family "Bacterial small subunit ribosomal RNA", at positions 28 to 507 of the family's 1533-position model. The record is from RNAcentral.
AUUGGACGCUGGCGGCAUGCUUUACACAUGCAAGUCGAACGGCAGCGCGGGCUUCGGCCUGGCGGCGAGUGGCGAACGGGUGAGUAAUGCAUCGGAACGUGCCCAGUAGUGGGGGAUAGCCCGGCGAAAGCCGGAUUAAUACCGCAUACGACCUGAGGGUGAAAGCGGGGGACCGAAAGGCCUCGCGCUAUUGGAGCGGCCGAUGUCGGAUUAGCUAGUUGGUGGGGUAAAGGCUUACCAAGGCGACGAUCCGUAGCUGGUCUGAGAGGACGACCAGCCACACUGGGACUGAGACACGGCCCAGACUCCUACGGGAGGCAGCAGUGGGGAAUUUUGGACAAUGGGGGCAACCCUGAUCCAGCCAUGCCGCGUGCGGGAAGAAGGCCUUCGGGUUGUAAACCGCUUUUGUUCGGGAAGAAAUCCUCUGGGCUAAUACCCCGGGGGGAUGACGGUACCGGAAGAAUAAGCACCGGCUAACUACGUG